Molecule: ribosomal RNA, 157 nt
Filed under: Hyaloscypha bicolor
Lineage: Eukaryota; Fungi; Ascomycota; Leotiomycetes; Helotiales; Hyaloscyphaceae
Description: 5.8S ribosomal RNA
Rfam family: 5.8S ribosomal RNA
About the family: 5.8S ribosomal RNA (5.8S rRNA) is a component of the large subunit of the eukaryotic ribosome. It is transcribed by RNA polymerase I as part of the 45S precursor that also contains 18S and 28S rRNA.
Source: RNAcentral
AACUUUCAAUAACGGAUCUCUUGGUUCUGGCAUCGAUGAAGAACGCAGCGAAAUGCGAUAAGUAAUGUGAAUUGCAGAAUUCAGUGAAUCAUCGAAUCUUUGAACGCACAUUGCGCCCCUUGGUAUUCCGAGGGGCAUGCCUGUUCGAGCGUCAUUA